GUCAUAUUGAGUUUAAAUUUUAACCGUUUAUUUAACCGAUUUUAAAUAUUUAAACUAAACUUCUUAUUUUCCCUUCCCGAUUUGCGUCUCUGCCGUUAGCGAUGGAAAAAGUGAGCAACUGUCGAAGAUACACGGCAAUCCCGAGCUGUUCAAGUAUUUAAACGAUGAUAUUUCUGCUGAGCUGGCCUCCAGCAGUCUUCCGGGCUCGAGCGAGCCAAAGCAAUCAUUGGCCGUAUGCAAAGCAAAGAUCUGUACGCGGAGAUUGCUCGCUUUCCGGUUGACAUGACAAAAGAGAUAAAGCAUUACAACUGCCAACGGGGAGAGUCCAUUGUGACGCAAGCGUUCGAUACAUAAAAUCAUCGAACCAAUGGUUCGCUAGCUUUAACGUUACCUUCUACAAACCCGGUACCGGCGGACGGUAUCGAAAUUGUUUCCCUGGAGGAAGCAAGGAACCUAAACAACCGUGCCGUAACCACGUUCGAGACGGCCGACGAGAUAAGGGAGUAUAUCCUCUACUGUACCAGCACCGAUCCGGAUGGCCAAAGCGAGGCCAAGCAGCACUUUACGAACCUACGAAACGAAACGACGACCGCGGGUAGCUAGUCGUUCGUUAUUUUUUCUUUUUAAUUAUUUUUUGUUUCUUCACUCACCUCACUACAUCAUAAUAUGCAAGAGGCUGUUAUUGUGUUCCCUUUUGGCCCUGUAGUUGUGAGCUACGCGUAUGUUGAAUUUCAAUGCAAUUUAAGUAACAUCACUACUUUCGUUUUAGCGUGCAGUGUGAAUACAAACCAAAAAUACAAAGCUAAAAGAGUUAUAUUAAA
Molecule: long non-coding RNA, 821 nt
Organism: Anopheles stephensi (Asian malaria mosquito)
Lineage: Eukaryota; Metazoa; Arthropoda; Insecta; Diptera; Culicidae
Exons: 2
Source: RefSeq, a predicted model, not a curated record